This 74-nucleotide transfer RNA is filed under the name Nitrososphaerota archaeon. RNAcentral's name for it is "Thaumarchaeota archaeon tRNA-Val". It matches the Rfam family "tRNA". Rfam says of the family: Transfer RNA (tRNA) molecules are approximately 80 nucleotides in length. The record is from RNAcentral. Lineage: Archaea; Thermoproteati; Nitrososphaerota.
GCCUGGUUAGUUUAAUGGUAGAACAUCGCUUUUACACGGCGAAUACGGGGGUCCGAUUCCCUCACUGGGCACCA